Molecule: ribosomal RNA, 468 nt
Filed under: uncultured bacterium
Lineage: Bacteria
Description: partial 16S ribosomal RNA
Rfam family: Bacterial small subunit ribosomal RNA
Source: RNAcentral
GACGAACGCUGGCGGCGUGCUUAACACAUGCAAGUCGAACGGAAAGGCCCUGCUUUUGUGGGGUGCUCGAGUGGCGAACGGGUGAGUAACAAGUGAGUAACCUGCCCUUGACUUUGGGAUAACUUCAGGAAACUGGGGCUAAUACCGGAUAGGAGCUCCUGCUGCAUGGUGGGGGUUGGAAAGUUUCGGCGGUUGGGGAUGGACUCGCGGCUUAUCAGCUUGUUGGUGGGGUAGUGGCUUACCAAGGCUUUGACGGGUAGCCGGCAUGAGAGGGUGACCGGCCACAUUGGGACUGAGAUACGGCCCAGACUCCUACGGGAGGCAGCAGUGGGGAAUAUUGCACAAUGGGCGGAAGCCUGAUGCAGCAACGCCGCGUGCGGGAUGACGGCCUUCGGGUUGUAAACCGCUUUCGCCUGUGACGAAGCGUGAGUGACGGUAAUGGGUAAAGAAGCACCGGCUAACUACGUG